Mastomys coucha (southern multimammate mouse) is the source of this 303-nucleotide long non-coding RNA. RefSeq lists it as uncharacterized. The transcript is spliced from 2 exons. The record is from RefSeq and is a predicted model, not a curated record. NCBI's taxonomy places the organism in Eukaryota, Metazoa, Chordata, Mammalia, Rodentia, Muridae.
GUCUGUAAUUAUUGCCAAGAAAUGUUCACAGCAAACAUGCUAGGUUUCUGACAGUCUGUCAUGAGGGAGAGAGACAAGUGCUUCCUGCGUACCUCUCAGAGACCGAAGUCUGAGUGAACGAGGCUCCUGGAGGCUGGCUUUUCUCGGCUGUCUUUUGAAUACCUCGAGCAGAACACCUCUGUCUUGUUAAUGACUUCAAAGAUACCAGGUCCACUGUGCAGCGAGUGAUAAAAAUGUACACAGCAUGUGUUGGAUAAAUUAAUAAACUCUCUGGAGCCUACCAGUCCUCAGGCCCAGCAGCAC